GACCCUGUAGCUCAGAUGGAUAGAGCGGCGCCCUCCUAAGGCGUAGGCCGUGCGUUCGAAUCGCGCCAGGGUCGCCA
This 77-nucleotide transfer RNA is filed under the name Ilyobacter polytropus DSM 2926. Its description in RNAcentral is "tRNA-Arg (CCT) (tRNA-Arg-CCT-1-1)". It matches the Rfam family "tRNA". From Rfam's summary of the family: Transfer RNA (tRNA) molecules are approximately 80 nucleotides in length. Their secondary structure includes four short double-helical elements and three loops (D, anti-codon, and T loops). Lineage: Bacteria; Fusobacteriati; Fusobacteriota; Fusobacteriia; Fusobacteriales; Fusobacteriaceae. The record is from RNAcentral.